Molecule: transfer RNA, 74 nt
Filed under: candidate division SR1 bacterium RAAC1_SR1_1
Lineage: Bacteria; Candidatus Absconditibacteriota
Rfam family: tRNA
About the family: Transfer RNA (tRNA) molecules are approximately 80 nucleotides in length. Their secondary structure includes four short double-helical elements and three loops (D, anti-codon, and T loops).
Source: Rfam by way of RNAcentral
GCAGGCAUAGCUCAAUUGGCUAGAGCGCUUCCUUGCCAAGGAAGAGGUUGCGGGUUCAAAUCCCGUUGCUUGCU